UACGGGAGGAGCAGUGGGGAAUAUUGCACAAUGGGCGCAAGCCUGAUGCAGCCAUGCCGCGUGUAUGAAGAAGGCCUUCGGGUUGUAAAGUACUUUCAGUCGUGAGGAAGGUGUUAAGGUUAAUAACCUUAGCAAUUGACGUUAGCGACAGAAGAAGCACCGGCUAACUCCGUGCCAGCAGCCGCGGUAAUACGGAGGGUGCGAGCGUUAAUCGGAAUUACUGGGCGUAAAGGGCACGCAGGCGGUUAAUUAAGUUGGAUGUGAAAUCCCCGGGCUUAACCUGGGAAUGGCAUUCAAGACUGGUUAGCUAGAGUCUUGUAGAGGGGGUAGAAUUCCAUGUGUAGCGGUGAAAUGCGUAGAGAUGUGGAGGAAUACCGGUGCGAAGGCGGCCCCUGGACAAAGACUGACGCUCAUGUGCGAAAGCGUGGGGAGCAAACAGGGAUUAGAUACC
This 451-nucleotide ribosomal RNA is filed under the name uncultured bacterium. RNAcentral's name for it is "bacterial SSU rRNA". It matches the Rfam family "Bacterial small subunit ribosomal RNA", at positions 340 to 786 of the family's 1533-position model. The record is from RNAcentral.